AUGGAUGAAGAGCUGGACGAUGUGGUCAUCGGGAAGGAAAAGGCCCAGAAGUUUAAGGAGGAAUCUCGAUGGCUGGCGAUUGCCAGGGUCAAUACGGAUCGACCUUUUAGUUCGUCGUCCUUUUUUGACACCAUGACGUUUGUCUGGGGCCUAGCGCAGACGCCAAAAUUCAGAGAGGCGGGAGCGAAUAGAUUCAUAUUCCAGAUGUUUUGCUUGGGAGAUUGGAAGAAAGUAGUCCAUGGUGGUCCAUGGCUCUUUCGAAACUAUGGGGUGGUCAUUGAGGACUACGAUGGGACAACGGAUCUAGGGUAAUUCGUGCUUGAUGGCCUGUAUGUGUGGGCGCAGAUCCAUAAGGUUCCUGAUCUUUACCGCCAUCCAGAAGUUGUUGAUGAGUUAGCACGAAGAAUUGGCAAAGUCAGAGAGGUUCAGCUCCGUCCUACUCUGUACUAUGAGGGUGACUAUGUCAGGGUUAGGGUUCGUGUUCUUACUGCGAAACCUCUGACCAGAUUCGCUCCUCUAACUGUGGAAGGAGAAGGGAGACGAAUGCUAGUGGUGAAAUAUGAAAAAAUCCCUUUCUUUUGCAAGGUUUGCGGUCUUAUGGGACAUGGUUUUGAGGAGUGUGGUAAUGGGAUUUGGAAGGAGACGGACAAGAAGUGGGGAAGCUGGAUGUUAGCCAAGCGCAGAGAGGUCUCCUACUCACAGCCCAAUGACGGAAGGUAUUUCUUUCGAGGGGGCCGUGGUAGAGGAGGAGCGAGAGGCAGAGGUCGCGACACAGCUCAAAGAGAAGGAGACCCAGUGAGAAACACAAGCCGGCAACAGGAAGAAGAUGUGCUUGGUGGAAAUACUCAUGAUGGGCCUGCAGAAUUUGAAGGUGGGACUGCUGCUACAGCGAACAGAGCAAACAAUAAAAGAAAUUAA
This 918-nucleotide ribosomal RNA is filed under the name Triticum aestivum (bread wheat). RNAcentral describes it as "partial small subunit ribosomal RNA". The record is from RNAcentral. Lineage: Eukaryota; Viridiplantae; Streptophyta; Magnoliopsida; Poales; Poaceae.